CAGCCGCCGCGGGAAUACGGAGGGUGCAAGCGUUAAUCGGAAUUACUGGGCGUAAAGCGCACGCAGGCGGUCUGACAAGUCAGAUGUGAAAUCCCCGGGCUUAACCUGGGAACUGCAUUUGAAACUGUCAGGCUGGAGUCUUGUAGAGGGGGGUGGAAUUCCAGGUGUAGCGGUGAAAUGCGUAGAGAUCUGGAGGAAUACCGGUGGCGAAGGCGGCCCCCUGGACAAAGACUGACGCUUAGGUGCGAAAGCGUGGGGAGCAAACAGGAUUAGAGACCCCAGUAGUCCAUGUCUCUUAUAC
RNAcentral lists this ribosomal RNA (301 nucleotides) under uncultured bacterium. RNAcentral describes it as "partial 16S ribosomal RNA". It matches the Rfam family "Bacterial small subunit ribosomal RNA", at positions 509 to 807 of the family's 1533-position model. The record is from RNAcentral.